This 317-nucleotide long non-coding RNA is filed under the name Lathyrus oleraceus (garden pea). RNAcentral's name for it is "Pisum sativum (pea) long non-coding RNA (PSAT_LNC007754)". The record is from RNAcentral. Lineage: Eukaryota; Viridiplantae; Streptophyta; Magnoliopsida; Fabales; Fabaceae.
CCAUAUGUCCUCAGACUCUCCGUGCUUUCUGCCUUCUGAACAAGACGAUUCCGACUGAUCCCUACCGGGUAUUAUCCAUGUGCCUUAACCAAAGCGCAAACGAUCAUGCCAGACGCAGUUGUUCGUUUCAAUCCCUCUUUUGCCUGGACCGCCCUUUCGGGUUUUCAGUCCACCGGGAUACCCUUUUUUGCCCAAGUCGCCUUUUCAGGUUUUCGACUUGCCGGGUGUACAUUUUUUCAUUUUAUCCCUAAUUUUUGCCCGAACCUUUUCUUUCUGUUUUUUGGUUCGCCGGGAUGCCCAUUUUUGCCUGGACUAUU